GACGAACGCUGGCGGCGUGCUUAACACAUGCAAGUCGAACGAAGAGCGAUGGAAGCUUGCUUCUAUCAAUCUUAGUGGCGAACGGGUGAGUAACGCGUAAUCAACCUGCCCUUCAGAGGGGGACAACAGUUGGAAACGACUGCUAAUACCGCAUGCGAUCUAAACUCGGCAUCGAGGAUAGAUGAAAGGUGGCCUCUACAUGUAAGCUAUCACUGAAGGAGGGGAUUGCAUCUGAUUAGCUAGUUGGAGGGGUAACGGCCCACCAAGGCGAUGAUCAGUAGCCGGCCUGAGAGGAUGAACGGCCACAUUGGGACUGAGACACGGCCCAGACUCCUACGGGAGGCAGCAGUGGGGAAUCUUCCGCAAUGGACGAAAGUCUGACGGAGCAACGCCGCGUGAGUGAUGACGGCCUUCGGGUUGUAAAGCUCUGUUAAUCGGGACGAAAGGCCUUCUUGCGAAUAGGGAGAAGGAUUGACGGUACCGGAAGAGAAAGCCACGGCUAACUACGUG
This 510-nucleotide ribosomal RNA is filed under the name uncultured bacterium. RNAcentral's name for it is "partial 16S ribosomal RNA". It matches the Rfam family "Bacterial small subunit ribosomal RNA", at positions 28 to 507 of the family's 1533-position model. The record is from RNAcentral.